CCGUACACAAAAGCGCAUGUGCUGUGAGCUCGAUGAGUAGGGCGGGACACGUGGUAUCCUGUCUGAAUAUGGGGGGACCAUCCUCCAAGGCUAAAUACUCCUGACUGACCGAUAGUGAACCAGUACCGUGAGGGAAAGGCGAAAAGAACCCCGGCGAGGGGAGUGAAAAAGAACCUGAAACCGUGUACGUACAAGCAGUGGGAGCACAGGUUUACCUGUGUGACUGCGUACCUUUUGUAUAAUGGGUCAGCGACUUAUAUUCUGUAGCAAGGUUAACCGUAUAGGGGAGCCGGAGGGAAACCGAGUCUUAAUUGGGCGUUAAGUUGCAGGGUAUAGACCCGAAACCCGGUGAUCUAGCCAUGGGCAGGUUGAAGGUUGGGUAACACUAACUGGAGGACCGAACCGACUAAUGUUGAAAAAUUAGCGGAUGACCUGUGGCUGGGGGUGAAAGGCCAAUCAAACCGGGAGAUAGCUGGUUCUCCCCGAAAGCUAUUUAGGUAGCGCCUCGUGAAUUCAUCUCCGGGGGUAGAGCACUGUUUCGGCUAGGGGGCCAUCCCGGCUUACCAACCCGAUGCAAACUGCGAAUACCGGAGAAUGUUAUCACGGGAGACACACGGCGGGUGCUAACGUCCGUCGUGAAGAGGGAAACAACCCAGACCGCCAGCUAAGGUCCCAAAGUCAUGGUUAAGUGGGAAACGAUGUGGGAAGGCCCAGACAGCCAGGAUGUUGGCUUAGAAGCAGCCAUCAUUUAAAGAAAGCGUAAUAGCUCACUGGUCGAGUCGGCCUGCGCGGAAGAUGUAACGGGGCUAAACCAUGCACCGAAGCUGCGGCAGCGAACGUAUCACCCAAGACAACUUUACGGAGUUGACGAUUGACGGAGCGAAGCGACGUCAAAGCGUUCAUUAAAGUCGAGUUGGCUUAGGGAUACGUUCGUUGGGUAGGGGAGCGUUCUGUAAGCCUGUGAAGGUGUGUCGUGAGGCAUGCUGGAGGUAUCAGAAGUGCGAAUGCUGACAUAAGUAACGAUAAAGCGGGUGAAAAGCCCGCUCGCCGGAAGACCAAGGGUUCCUGUCCAACGUUAAUCGGGGCAGGGUGAGUCGACCCCUAAGGCGAGGCCGAAAGGCGUAGUCGAUGGGAAACGGGUUAAUAUUCCCGUACUUGGUGUUACUGCGAAGGGGGGACGGAGAAGGCUAUGUUGGCCGGGCGACGGUUGUCCCGGUUUAAGCGUGUAGGUGUGUGUUCCAGGUAAAUCCGGUUCACUUUAACACUGAGGC
This 1271-nucleotide ribosomal RNA is filed under the name Salmonella enterica subsp. enterica serovar Typhimurium. RNAcentral's name for it is "partial 23S ribosomal RNA". It matches the Rfam family "Bacterial large subunit ribosomal RNA", at positions 373 to 1562 of the family's 2925-position model. The record is from RNAcentral. Lineage: Bacteria; Pseudomonadati; Pseudomonadota; Gammaproteobacteria; Enterobacterales; Enterobacteriaceae.